AGGUUCUUUCGGAGCAAAGGGUUCCUCGCUUGUGAAAGUGAGGACGAGCCUUUGCUUGACAAAGAAUGGUUUCUAAUACCCAAGAAAUUGUUCCAUCUGCUGACAUGGCUCUAUUUUAAACGCUUAAUGAGCCUUUUCUUAUAAGGGCCUUGGGGUCAAGCAAGUUGAGACAAGAGACUUGCCUGGAGAUGCCUUCAGAGAAAAGAGCCAUCAAAGGCCCCAGAACACAAGGCCCCAGAACACGAAAGGGCUGGACUCGAGUGAGAACGGAGGCUCACCUGGGCCCAGGAGACAGAGAGGUGCCUGGGGGUAUCCACAGUGACCGCCACCCCCAUGGAGCAAAGCUUCAUGCCAGUCACCGUCCUGCGCCCCUUGGGGCGUUAGCUCCUGACAACCCUACUGGACGGGUGCGUUCUUCAGCUGUGGGCACCUCUUCCCUACCACGAGCCCUGCCCAUGAAGGUGGCCUUCUAGAAUUCCAUGCCAGAGGAUUCAGCAUCACAGGACCAUAAAAUCCAAAGCCAGCAAAUAAAAAUAAUCCAAGCUAGCAGGAGGGCCUUGGAGCCAGGGGCCCUUAGGAUCCUGGCCAGUCACUCUUUCUUCAUCAAACUCCGAACAAGAGGAAGGCCUGGGGCAUGCCUGCCCUUCCUCCAGCCAAGGAUGAGCGGGAACCUCUGCCCACAGAAAAAUUUCCAUCAAGGGUCAAAUCCAAAAUGCCAGGCGUUCAGGCGACCUAAGGGGCCUGCGGAUCCUAAGUUGGGAAACACCCCAACUGCCAGGUUACACUCAAACGAGGGAAGGAUGUGUUGAAUCUUGUGCUGUAUUCAAGCCAUCAUACCGAGCUUUUACGGACACCGUUGGUUUCUUGGACCUCAACGUCCUUCCCCGGUUACUACCCCAACAGUGGCACCAGAAGCAAGCUUGGUUACUUGAAGGGGCCAGCUGUGUGUCUUGGACAGUGAGCACGCAGUAGCAAGUCUGCCUUUAACCCAGGCGUCAGAGGAAGGCCCAACUGCAAUUCUACGCUCCACCUUUUGGCGUCUUCUCGUACUUUUUCGCUUGGGGUGCUUCCCCCUCUGGCAGGCAGAGAGGCCGGAGGAGUUCGGCGGACGGCGUUAUGGGAAGGUGGGCUGAGUUGGGACACGGACACGACAGGGCGAGCCAGCACCAGGAGUGGAAGGAGCCUCUUCGUCCACUCCGUCCAGAGGCGCGGAGACAGAGGCAGAAGGCCGCCCCUGCUGCCCCUGGUCGGUGUCCUUCCGUGACACCUGCCCUGUGCUCCAACAGAUGCGGGCUUAGCCGGGAGGGGACCAGAGCCCACUGACUUCUAACAAAUCAUGAAUCUAAAAUCAAGUCCUGUUACGAAGCAACUGAUGUAGGGUCGUGGCCCAGAGUCCAGGCAGUGGUUGAGGGGGCCCCGGCCUCACGUCUCCCAGCACCAAACGCUGCCACCGUAGCCCCCUUGCCCUCUACUACUGAGCAGCUUCUCGGAUGCAUCACGCCACGCGUGGACUGCUUGGGUCAUAAUUCAGUCAACAGCAUGGCUGGUGCAGCAUGAGCCAGAGGGGCAAGAAGGACCUGGAGCCUGAGGUCCAUGGCUUACGAACCGUGUGGCCUGGGAGAGCAAGACGAUCUCCCUGAACCUCACUUUUCUCAUCUUUAUGGCAGGGGCAAGAAGAGCACGUCGACCCCACAGGUACUGCAAGGAUAAAGUAAUAAGUGCCCAGCGCAGGGCCCGGCACAGAGGGAGCGCUCGAUGAACAUCAGCUACCACCACCUUCCUCCGUCACUAUGCCGUCUUCAGAUCUUACGUUCAAGAAACCCACAACAAUGUGGGCUGACCCACUACUUUUUUUUCUCUUCUGAAUAAAUUAUUUCACUUAAUUUUUUUUUCACAACUUACAAGUAAAAAUAUACUUAGUGUUUCAAAAAGCAUUUAUUGCAUCUGGGCCAUGUGGUAAAGAGAGCCUGGAAAGAGUACAAGAUUCCUAAUGCACCCAACCAGAUAGACACCUGACAUAGAGAUCUAGCGGCCUGGGGCAGCCCGGGUGGCUCAGCGGUUUAGCGCCACCUUCGGCCCAGGGCGUGAUCCUGGAGACCUGGGAUCGAGUCCCACGUCGGGCUCCCUGCAUGGAGCCUGCUUCUC
Long non-coding RNA from Canis lupus familiaris (dog), 2145 nucleotides. RefSeq lists it as uncharacterized. NCBI's taxonomy places the organism in Eukaryota, Metazoa, Chordata, Mammalia, Carnivora, Canidae. The transcript is spliced from 5 exons. The record is from RefSeq and is a predicted model, not a curated record.